Molecule: ribosomal RNA, 926 nt
Filed under: Crucibulum laeve
Lineage: Eukaryota; Fungi; Basidiomycota; Agaricomycetes; Agaricales; Nidulariaceae
Description: LSU rRNA
Rfam family: Eukaryotic large subunit ribosomal RNA
Source: RNAcentral
AGGAAAAGAAACUAACCAGGAUUCCCCUAGUAACUGCGAGUGAAGCGGGAAAAGCUCAAAUUUAAAAUCUGGUGGUCUUAUGGCUGNCCGAGUUGUAAUCUAGAGAAGUGUUANCCGCGUUGGACCGUGUACAAGUCUCCUGGAAAGGAGCAUCAUAGAGGGUGAGAAUCCCGUCUUUGACACGGACUCCCAGGGCUUUGUGGUACACUCUCAAAGAGUCGAGUUGUUUGGGAAUGCAGCUCAAAAUGGGUGGUAAAUUCCAUCUAAAGCUAAAUAUUGGCGAGAGACCGAUAGCGAACAAGUACCGUGAGGGAAAGAUGAAAAGAACUUUGGAAAGAGAGUUAAACAGUACGUGAAAUUGCUGAAAGGGAAACGCUUGAAGUUAGUCGCGUUGGCUGGAAAUCAACCCUUUGGGUGUACUUUCUAGUCGACGGGUCAGCAUCAAUUUUGAUUGUUGGAUAAAGGCUUAGGGAAUGUGGCAUCUUCGGAUGUGUUAUAGCCCUAGGUUGCAUACAACAGUUGGGAUUGAGGAACUCAGCACGCCGAAAGGCCGGGUAUUUUACCACGUUCGUGCUUAGGAUGCUGGCAUAAUAGCUUUAAUCGACCCGUCUUGAAACACGGACCAAGGAGUCUAACAUGCCUGCGAGUAUUUGGGUGGAAAACCCGGAUGCGUAAUGAAAGUGAAAGUUGAGAACCCUGUCGUGGGGUGCAUCGACGCCCGGACUUGAUGUUUACUGACGGUUCCGCGGUAGAGCAUGUAUGUUGGGACCCGAAAGAUGGUGAACUAUGCCUGAAUAGGGUGAAGCCAGAGGAAACUCUGGUGGAGGCUCGUAGCGAUUCUGACGUGCAAAUCGAUCGUCAAAUUUGGGUAUAGGGGCGAAAGACUAAUCGAACCAUCUAGUAGCUGGUUCCUGCCGAAGUUUCCC